RNAcentral lists this ribosomal RNA (1424 nucleotides) under Klebsiella aerogenes. RNAcentral's name for it is "bacterial SSU rRNA". It matches the Rfam family "Bacterial small subunit ribosomal RNA". Lineage: Bacteria; Pseudomonadati; Pseudomonadota; Gammaproteobacteria; Enterobacterales; Enterobacteriaceae. The record is from RNAcentral.
GCAGGGCUACACAUGCAGUCGAGCGGUAGCACAGAGAGCUUGCUCUCGGGUGACGAGCGGCGGACGGGUGAGUAAUGUCUGGGAAACUGCCUGAUGGAGGGGGAUAACUACUGGAAACGGUAGCUAAUACCGCAUAACGUCGCAAGACCAAAGUGGGGGACCUUCGGGCCUCAUGCCAUCAGAUGUGCCCAGAUGGGAUUAGCUAGUAGGUGGGGUAAUGGCUCACCUAGGCGACGAUCCCUAGCUGGUCUGAGAGGAUGACCAGCCACACUGGAACUGAGACACGGUCCAGACUCCUACGGGAGGCAGCAGUGGGGAAUAUUGCACAAUGGGCGCAAGCCUGAUGCAGCCAUGCCGCGUGUAUGAAGAAGGCCUUCGGGUUGUAAAGUACUUUCAGCGAGGAGGAAGGCGUUAAGGUUAAUAACCUUAGCGAUUGACGUUACUCGCAGAAGAAGCACCGGCUAACUCCGUGCCAGCAGCCGCGGUAAUACGGAGGGUGCAAGCGUUAAUCGGAAUUACUGGGCGUAAAGCGCACGCAGGCGGUCUGUCAAGUCGGAUGUGAAAUCCCCGGGCUCAACCUGGGAACUGCAUUCGAAACUGGCAGGCUAGAGUCUUGUAGAGGGGGGUAGAAUUCCAGGUGUAGCGGUGAAAUGCGUAGAGAUCUGGAGGAAUACCGGUGGCGAAGGCGGCCCCCUGGACAAAGACUGACGCUCAGGUGCGAAAGCGUGGGGAGCAAACAGGAUUAGAUACCCUGGUAGUCCACGCCGUAAACGAUGUCGACUUGGAGGUUGUGCCCUUGAGGCGUGGCUUCCGGAGCUAACGCGUUAAGUCGACCGCCUGGGGAGUACGGCCGCAAGGUUAAAACUCAAAUGAAUUGACGGGGGCCCGCACAAGCGGUGGAGCAUGUGGUUUAAUUCGAUGCAACGCGAAGAACCUUACCUACUCUUGACAUCCAGAGAACUUAGCAGAGAUGCUUUGGUGCCUUCGGGAACUCUGAGACAGGUGCUGCAUGGCUGUCGUCAGCUCGUGUUGUGAAAUGUUGGGUUAAGUCCCGCAACGAGCGCAACCCUUAUCCUUUGUUGCCAGCGGUCCGGCCGGGAACUCAAAGGAGACUGCCAGUGAUAAACUGGAGGAAGGUGGGGAUGACGUCAAGUCAUCAUGGCCCUUACGAGUAGGGCUACACACGUGCUACAAUGGCAUAUACAAAGAGAAGCGACCUCGCGAGAGCAAGCGGACCUCAUAAAGUAUGUCGUAGUCCGGAUUGGAGUCUGCAACUCGACUCCAUGAAGUCGGAAUCGCUAGUAAUCGUAGAUCAGAAUGCUACGGUGAAUACGUUCCCGGGCCUUGUACACACCGCCCGUCACACCAUGGGAGUGGGUUGCAAAAGAAGUAGGUAGCUUAACCUUCGGAGGCGCUACACUUUG